AGGUUCGAUUAGAAAAGGAUGACAGGUGCUUCAUAUUGGAGUUACCAACGUGUGUGCUUUCUGAAAUCCUAAAUGAAGUGGUACUACAGGAAGGAGAUAAGACAUACUUUAGAUUGGCUCUUAUGUGUACCACCUUCAGGGACACUGUGUCCACUGACUCCUUCAGGAGACGGGCACAUUUUCAGUGGCUUGACAGUGUCGCUACAUGGAGCAGGUUUUCUGAGUCCUACAGAAAAUAAUUCUACACCAUGUACAGCGUGGACACCUGUCGUGAAUGUGGAAUGCUUUUCAAAAACUGCACACCUGGAUAUGCUGGAACAGGACAAAGGGGUGUACUUGAAGCAGUUUACUCCGAAGACCCACAUCCAGGUUACUGCGAUCACUUUUGCCACCAAAUGCAAUAGUGAAAACGGACACGUAUACUACCUGUUGGCAGACAACCCUGAGCCAGCUGGGUGUUUUUCAAGCUGCAGGCCACCGUGACAAUUUGUGAGGAUUUAAUUUAGAAUUCUCCAGUGUUAUUACAGACUGUUAAUGAAUUGUUUAUGAUAAAAAAGAGAUGUCAUAUUCAGCCUAUGUUUAAACAACAAAAUUUUAAAACUAACAUCUAUUGAGAGUCUACUUUAUGCUUUUUUGGUUUUAAUAACGUCCUGUUCAAUGUGUAAUAAAAUUCAAAUCCUCUGAA
Long non-coding RNA from Esox lucius (northern pike), 685 nucleotides. RefSeq lists it as uncharacterized. The record is from RefSeq and is a predicted model, not a curated record. Lineage: Eukaryota; Metazoa; Chordata; Actinopteri; Esociformes; Esocidae. The transcript is spliced from 5 exons.